UAUGCUUUAGUUUAUGAUGAACAGAGAUUUUUGGUAUCUCAGGAGAUAGUUUAAUUCUAUCAAGCAUAG
RNAcentral lists this transfer RNA (69 nucleotides) under Epicauta chinensis. Its description in RNAcentral is "tRNA-Gln". The record is from RNAcentral. Lineage: Eukaryota; Metazoa; Arthropoda; Insecta; Coleoptera; Meloidae.